This 480-nucleotide ribosomal RNA is filed under the name uncultured bacterium. RNAcentral describes it as "partial 16S ribosomal RNA". It matches the Rfam family "Bacterial small subunit ribosomal RNA", at positions 28 to 523 of the family's 1533-position model. The record is from RNAcentral.
GAUGAACGCUGGCGGCGUGCUUAACACAUGCAAGUCGAGCGAUGAAGUUUCCUUCGGGAAACGGAUUAGCGGCGGACGGGUGAGUAACACGUGGGUAACCUGCCUCAUAGAGUGGAAUAGCCUUCCGAAAGGAAGAUUAAUACCGCAUAACGUUGAAAGAUGGCAUCAUCAUUCAACCAAAGGAGCAAUCCGCUAUGAGAUGGACCCGCGGCGCAUUAGCUAGUUGGUGGGGUAACGGCCUACCAAGGCGACGAUGCGUAGCCGACCUGAGAGGGUGAUCGGCCACAUUGGGACUGAGACACGGCCCAGACUCCUACGGGAGGCAGCAGUGGGGAAUAUUGCACAAUGGGGGAAACCCUGAUGCAGCAACGCCGCGUGAGUGAUGAAGGUUUUCGGAUCGUAAAGCUCUGUCUUUGGGGAAGAUAAUGACGGUACUCAAGGAGGAAGCCACGGCUAACUACGUGCCAGCGGCCGCCGCAG